This 542-nucleotide ribosomal RNA is filed under the name Chaetothyriales sp. EXP0392F. RNAcentral describes it as "eukaryotic LSU rRNA". The stretch from base 200 to 354 matches the Rfam family "5.8S ribosomal RNA". The record is from RNAcentral. Lineage: Eukaryota; Fungi; Ascomycota; Eurotiomycetes; Chaetothyriales.
GGAUCAUUAACGAGUUAGGGUCUUCCGGGCCCGACCUCCCAACCCUUUGUUUAUUGAACUAUUGUUGCUUCGGUGGGCCCGUCUAACGACCGCCGGGGGACCGCCGCGAGGCGCCCCCUGGCCAGCGCCCGCCGAUAGCCCAACUUAAACCCUUAUGAAUCGUGUCUUCUGUCUAAAUCAUGAUUACAAAUCAAAACAAAACUUUCAACAACGGAUCUCUUGGUUCUGGCAUCGAUGAAGAACGCAGCGAAAUGCGAUAAGUAAUGCGAAUUGCAGAAUUCCAGUGAGUCAUCGAAUCUUUGAACGCACAUUGCGCCCUUUGGUAUUCCGAAGGGCAUGCCUGUUCGAGCGUCAUUAUCACCCCUCAAGCCCCGUGCUUGGUGUUGGACGGCUGGUCGAGCAAUCGCACCCCUCCUCAUGAUAACGACGGCGACCUGUGGUUCCCCCGGUACAAUGAGCUUCUCACAGAGCACGUAUCGGACAAGGGCGCCCAGGUCCCGGUCUUCUCCUCUCACGAGGAACUAUUUUACAAGGUUGACCUC